UACGGGGGGGGCAAGCGUUGUUCGGAAUUACUGGGCGUAAAGGGCUCGUAGGCGGCCAACUAAGUCAGACGUGAAAUCCCUCGGCUUAACCGGGGAACUGCGUCUGAUACUGGAUGGCUUGAGGUUGGGAGAGGGAUGCGGAAUUCCAGGUGUAGCGGUGAAAUGCGUAGAUAUCUGGAGGAACACCGGUGGCGAAGGCGGCAUCCUGGACCAAAACUGACGCUGAGGCGCGAAAGCGUGGGGAGCAAACGGG
Molecule: ribosomal RNA, 253 nt
Filed under: uncultured bacterium
Lineage: Bacteria
Description: partial 16S ribosomal RNA
Rfam family: Bacterial small subunit ribosomal RNA
Source: RNAcentral